RNAcentral lists this transfer RNA (77 nucleotides) under Betaproteobacteria bacterium. Its description in RNAcentral is "tRNA-Val". It matches the Rfam family "tRNA". Rfam says of the family: Transfer RNA (tRNA) molecules are approximately 80 nucleotides in length. Their secondary structure includes four short double-helical elements and three loops (D, anti-codon, and T loops). Further hydrogen bonds mediate the characteristic L-shaped molecular structure. tRNAs have two regions of fundamental functional importance: the anti-codon, which is responsible for specific mRNA codon recognition, and the 3' end, to which the tRNAs corresponding amino acid is attached (by aminoacyl-tRNA synthetases). tRNAs cope with the degeneracy of the genetic code in two manners: having more than one tRNA (with a specific anti-codon) for a particular amino acid; and 'wobble' base-pairing, i.e. permitting non-standard base-pairing at the 3rd anti-codon position. The record is from RNAcentral. Lineage: Bacteria; Pseudomonadati; Pseudomonadota; Betaproteobacteria.
AGGCGGUUAGCUCAGCUGGUUAGAGCGUUGCGUUGACAUCGCAAAGGUCGUUGGUUCGAUUCCAAUACCGCCUACCA